UUUGGAAGCGCAGCCAGCGGGUGUCAGCCCGAACACCAUCCAGAAUCCUGUGUCUGUUUUGGGUCUUCCAUUUUGGAGCAUCGGGCUGUUUUGAGGAGAUAGUGCAUGUUUGUAUUUUCAACUGUACUUUUUUUUUGUUUUGUUUUGUUUAUCUGCCAUUUGGGGGAUUGGUGGCUGCACUACAGCUGAAAGUCACUGUUGGGAGACAGAAGGGCUUUGGCUGCUUUGGACUGUUGGGUUGGAGCAGAACACAGGAUGAUAAGGAAUGAGCUCCCCAGAGAGGACAGAAGAGACAGUGUCUCUCUGUCAACAAUAGCCUGUAUCCUUAAAAAAACAAAGUUCUGAUGAAACAACUGUAUAAAGUGUAUUUUGAAAGACAUUCAGAUGGGUGAAAGUCCUGCG
Long non-coding RNA from Esox lucius (northern pike), 402 nucleotides. Lineage: Eukaryota; Metazoa; Chordata; Actinopteri; Esociformes; Esocidae. The record is from Ensembl.